ACGAACGCUGGCGGCGCGCCUAACACAUGCAAGUCGAACGAGCGAGAGAGAGCUUGCUUUCUCGAGCGAGUGGCGAACGGGUGAGUAACGCGUGAGGAACCUGCCUCAAAGAGGGGGACAACAGUUGGAAACGACUGCUAAUACCGCAUAAGCCCACGACCCGGCAUCGGGUAGAGGGAAAAGGAGCAAUCCGCUUUGAGAUGGCCUCGCGUCCGAUUAGCUAGUUGGUGAGGUAACGGCCCACCAAGGCGACGAUCGGUAGCCGGACUGAGAGGUUGAACGGCCACAUUGGGACUGAGACACGGCCCAGACGCCUACGGGAGGCAGCAGUGGGGAAUAUUGCACAAUGGGGGAAACCCUGAUGCAGCGACGCCGCGUGGAGGAAGAAGGUCUUCGGAUUGUAAACUCCUGUUGUUGAGGAAGAUAAUGACGGUACUCAACAAGGAAGUGACGGCUAACUACGUG
RNAcentral lists this ribosomal RNA (465 nucleotides) under uncultured bacterium. RNAcentral's name for it is "partial 16S ribosomal RNA". It matches the Rfam family "Bacterial small subunit ribosomal RNA", at positions 29 to 507 of the family's 1533-position model. The record is from RNAcentral.